Molecule: ribosomal RNA, 433 nt
Filed under: uncultured bacterium
Lineage: Bacteria
Description: bacterial SSU rRNA
Rfam family: Bacterial small subunit ribosomal RNA
Source: RNAcentral
ACGGGAGGCAGCAGUGGGGAAUAUUGCACAAUGGGCGAAAGCCUGAUGCAGCAACGCCGCGUGAAGGAAGAAGGCUUUCGGGUCGUAAACUUCUGUCCUAGGGGAAGAUAAUGACGCAACCCUUGGAGGAAGCCCCGGCUAACUACGUGCCAGCAGCCGCGGUAAUACGUAGGGGGCAAGCGUUAUCCGGAAUUAUUGGGCGUAAAGAGUGCGUAGGUGGUAACUUAAGCGCGGGGUUUAAGGCAAUGGCUUAACCAUUGUUCGCCCCGCGAACUGGGAUACUUGAGUGCAGGAGAGGAAAGCGGAAUUCCUAGUGUAGCGGUGAAAUGCGUAGAUAUUAGGAGGAACACCAGUGGCGAAGGCGGCUUUCUGGACUGAAACUGACACUGAGGCACGAAAGUGUGGGGAGCAAACAGGAUUAGAUACCCUGGUA